CUCUCCCACACGCCCACGUUGUCCUCCUUCCGUUGCGAUGCCACCCCGCCCUCCUCCAUCCUUACUUCUCCCUUGAAGAGCUCGCACCACCCCCGCACCGUGCCUCUCGGUCGUGCUCAGUGGGUCGCCAAACGCGGGGAACGUACGUGCCCAUGGCAGUAAGAUAAGCUCCUGCUGUAGCAGAUCUGAUUUUCUUGAUCUUUUACCUAUUCCUGUGAAUCUCCCGUUUCUCUCAUUUGCAGGACCAGUGGAGGAGAAUAACUAACCAACCAGAAAAGCAGCAGGAGCGGCAGCGACAAAAGUUCUUUCACGGCACCUCAGCGGCCAGGAGGAUCAUGAGUUUGUUUUACUCGAUGGAGGAGCACACCGUCCAGAGUAUGCAGGACAAGCAAUGAACUUCGAUUUUAUUUUCCCAUGUUGGCUGCGUAGAAUCGUUUGUGUAAAAUUUCCAGAAAAGACAACGGAUAAUAGACUAUCUUUGGAUGCAGAAAUAUGUAGAAAAGAAAUUCUGAGCUCGAAGAAACCAAUUGGCCUGACCAGAUAGAACUUCAAACUAGGUGAUCUGAAAUUCAUGAAAGUGUUAAGAAGUGGCUUUCGAUGAUUGAAGCUUCCAUGUUCAUUGCCAACCCUACUGGUCCUCCAGAAAUGGUUACAAACCAGACAAGGUCUUCUUGCAUACAACAUGUUUGUCUUAUUUUGCUUCUUCAAUUCUUCUUGAACAAUCAUGUUGAUCGUGAUUUACGUUUUCUAUUAUAGCUCAUAAUUAGGGGUAACAAUAAUAGGUCAGGAUACUAUGACUUUAUGGUGAUAGUGUUUUUCUUUUUCUGCAUUCGAAGGAAUGUAUACAGUGUUGUUAUUCCAUAAGUGCUUGAUUCAUAGGACAUAAAGAGACAAAUUUAGAUAUGGCCAAAGACUGUCAAAGGAGGCGCACGACACUCCAAAUUGUUUGAGUUCAUCUAAUUGCUUAUUGGCUGUAUUUUCUAAAAACAUUUUGCUUCUGCUCAGACAUCGAUUCUGGGGCAAUCAGGUCUGGACAAACUCUAACUCCUGCACUACUGUCAUAUUAACUCUGUUAUUAAAUUUUGUGCUUAUCCUCCUAUAUCUCUGACAAUGCCAAAGAUUGUAUUGUCAUGUCCAUCAGAUACUUGACAUAAUUCCAAUCGCAUGUGUACUUCUUCCUUAAAUGUCUUUUUACGAAGAAGCUCAGGUAAUUAUUGUUCCUGUGAGAACUGUGUAUGCUCUUCUUCUGUAACUAUUUUCAUUCUUACAUUAACAGAAUGGCAUAUACAGUAUAGGUACAUUGAUACAACGACAUUCCUUCCAAUUUAUUUGUAAUUCUUGUUAGGAGAUGUAAUAGCAGUAUUGUUAAACGAUUACCUGAGACUAAUCUAUUCUAGAGAGAAUCUACUGCAUACUAACGAUACAUUUUUCAUCUUCGGCUGUUCCCAUAGCAAUCAUCUCCAUUGUGGACAAUGCUUAGGGUAGUUACAUUCCUAAGUAUUCCUAGAUCAACAAGAUGCUGCAAGAUCCUUCCUUCUGCCAAAUAUAGGUUAUGAACACCUCGACAAUUGGAUGGUAGAGGUCAGAUCGGAGUAUAAUGAAGUUUCUGAAAAGAAGUGGAAUGUAAGCUUCUACCUGUUUGUCAUCAUAAAAUUCCCUUGUACUAACUGUCUUAAGUUAGUCUUGCACCAUAUUCAUUUUCUACAAUGCCUUUUGGCCUUCUCUUUUGAGGCUGGAGAUAGAUUUGAUGUACUAUGUAUCUGCCAUCUCCCAGUAGUCUGCCAACGGGCGUUGUAAUUGGGGCGAUGAUUGGUCCUUUAUAAAUCUAAUUAUUCUAGGUAAAUAGGAUGAAAUAAGGAUCUAUGUCUGUCAUGGUGCCACACAUAAUUUAGCACUGCACUAUCAUUAUUUUCUGUAAGCUACUUCAUCAUUCGUGAUGCACAUACUUGGGUUGAUUUAUCUUGGGCCGAAAAAACCCAUAUUGUUCUAUUAUCGAAGAAUGUUCUAUUUUUAGCUAUACUUAUCGUCAUGUUAGGUAUUUAUAUAGCUCAUCUAGGAUGAAUUCUUUGAUUGAUGAAACUAUGAGAUCAUGCUUCUUGCCUACUAAGUUUUUCUUAUUUCAGUUGUAAAUAGAAAUCACACCAUUUACCAAGGCCUUUCUGUUUCCCAUUUUAUGUCAGAAGUAAUCUAAUUGAUGAUGACGGGAUGACAUGACAGAGUUUCCUGGAAAGACGGCCAUGCAUAUUGGCAUUCCAAGGUCCAAGAUAGGUACCUCCCGUGACUUGAUGAAUUGUUUGCCCGAGAGCUUCCACAUCGAAGACCAGAUAGGGGCGGUGUGCCAGCGGGAGAAGGGUGAACAAAGAGAACUGCGAUGGACGCUCAGAAGAAUCGACCGAAGCAUAUAACAAAAAGGAACGGAAGAAAACAAAAUUGGGAAGUGAUAUUGCAAGGAUGGCGAUUUUCCAGAUUUAGAUUAAUCCGCGUCCAUCAAAAAGACUCAAGCGAAGUUGUGUGUAGCCUUGUAGGGAUGUAUGUGUCAUAACCUGGCCAGUAGCAGAAGAAUCAUGGAUAGUGGAUGUAACAUGUAACUUUUGCUUUUCCUACAACCCGAUUGACUAUGGAUACAUAAUUGGAAUGGAC
Long non-coding RNA from Lolium rigidum, 2640 nucleotides. RefSeq lists it as uncharacterized. The transcript has 4 exons. Lineage: Eukaryota; Viridiplantae; Streptophyta; Magnoliopsida; Poales; Poaceae. The record is from RefSeq and is a predicted model, not a curated record.